AAUUUGUAGAACUAAAACUGCAAACAUCCAGAAUCUUGAUGGUGUGCCAAGCCAAAUGUCAACUGGAACUCAACCAAAAACUAAACCUUUACUGAUCACAUGUUUCCUCUGUCUUGAAUGGAUAGCAGCAUCGACUGUUGCAAUAAAUUCUCCACUCCGCAGACCUGGGCAGCCCACACCUGUGCCAGAAAUUAUGCACCAGAUGGCAACUGAAAAUGACUGGAUAUCUAUGAGAAGAGGAUAUUUAGAGAAAAUACACAUUUACAAGUAAAGCAAGAUUUUUAAAUCAACAAUUCCUGUACUGAAAUGUUACAUUUGUUAAAUAAAUAAAUAUAUCUUGGACUGCAGAAAUACA
Long non-coding RNA from Homo sapiens (human), 355 nucleotides. Lineage: Eukaryota; Metazoa; Chordata; Mammalia; Primates; Hominidae. The record is from Ensembl.